RNAcentral lists this ribosomal RNA (549 nucleotides) under uncultured Glomus. RNAcentral describes it as "SSU rRNA". It matches the Rfam family "Eukaryotic small subunit ribosomal RNA", at positions 548 to 1098 of the family's 1831-position model. Lineage: Eukaryota; Fungi; Glomeromycota; Glomeromycetes; Glomerales; Glomeraceae. The record is from RNAcentral.
UUGGAGGGCAAGUCUGGUGCCAGCAGCCGCGGUAAUUCCAGCUCCAAUAGCGUAUAUUAAAGUUGUUGCAGUUAAAAAGCUCGUAGUUGAAUUUCGGGGUUAGUAGGUUGGUCAUGCCUCUGGUAUGUACUGGUCUCACUGAUUCCUCCUUCCUGAUGAGCCGUAAUGCCAUUAAUUUGGUGUUGCGGGGAAUUUGGACUGUUACUUUGAAAAAAUUAGAGUGUUUAAAGCAAGCUAACGCUUGAAUACAUUAGCAUGGAAUAAUGAAAUAGGACGUUCGAUCCUAUUUUGUUGGUUUCUAGGAUUGACGUAAUGAUUAAUAGGGAUAGUUGGGGGCAUUAGUAUUCAAUUGUCAGAGGUGAAAUUCUUGGAUUUAUUGAAGACUAACUACUGCGAAAGCAUUUGCCAAGGAUGUUUUCAUUAAUCAAGAACGAAAGUUAGGGGAUCGAAGACGAUCAGAUACCGUCGUAGUCUUAACCAUAAACUAUGCCGACUAGGGAUCGAAUGAUGUUAAUUUUUUAAUGACUCAUUCGGCGCCUUACGGGAAAC